ACCCAUUCUCGCGUUGCCUCACAGGGAAGUGGGUCGGCUUCCGAGAGCCGGCAGGUUUCCGGAGCGGUCGCCCGGCCGGCCUCGCUUGUCCCCCCGUCCCUUGUGUCUCCGACCCCAGAGAUCCGGAACGUCUAACCUGAAGGUGAUGCUCGCCAGCGGCUCCCGAGAUCCCGAGCACUGGUGAAUGCGAAAGAGCCCGGCGCGGUGUCAGGGCGCGGUGUCCGGGCGCUAGCCGGGCUCCCCGGCACCCUGUGUGGGCGGGACCACCUCUCCGGCGCCGCUCGCCCCGCCCAUCCGCCGGGCCCCUGCGCGCGUGCGCACUUCUCUGCCGUGCCCGCGGUCUCGGAGCCGGCGCGCCGCGGCCGUCUCUCUCGGGCUUCAGCGGGCUUAUGCUGCUUUAUUUGCAUGGGACGGAUGUCAGCCCUAGUGCAACGUCAUUUAUACCCUCUCAGGAUCCUCCCUCAGGAGGAGUUUUGAUAGUAGUCAGAGCAAAAGACUGGAGUCUACAGAAAUAUCAGGAUAAGCCUGGGCAGAACUAGGAGAGAAGUGGGCAUCAACAGACACUGGACUUACAGCUGGAUGCAGUGAGUGUUGAAACCUGAGGUUGUCUUUUUGGGAGGAGGCAGAGGGGAGGAGCAGAGGAAGAGAGAAUCCUGAAGCAGACUCUCUGCUGUACAGGGAACCCAAUCUGGGUCUCAAUUCCAAGGCCCCGAGAUCAUGACCUGAGCCAAAAUCAAGUGUCAACCACUUAACCAACUGAGCCAUCCAGAGAAAGCACAAGCAGGAGGAGUGGCAGGAAGAGAGAGAAAGAGAAGCAGCCUUCCCAUUGAACAGGAAGCCCAAUGUGGGGCUCAAUCCCAGGACCCUGGGAUCAUGACCAGAGCUGAAGGCAGACACUCAGCCAACUGAGACACCUAAGCACCCUAGAUUUUCACUUUUGAUCACCUACUCAAGUAUUUUGUCCAUAUUUUGAUCGAAGUUUCUGGUUUUUUGUUAUAUUACAACUGUUGUUUAUAUAUUGUG
Canis lupus familiaris (dog) is the source of this 1023-nucleotide long non-coding RNA. RefSeq lists it as uncharacterized. The transcript is spliced from 5 exons. NCBI's taxonomy places the organism in Eukaryota, Metazoa, Chordata, Mammalia, Carnivora, Canidae. The record is from RefSeq and is a predicted model, not a curated record.